This is a long non-coding RNA of Patella vulgata (common limpet), 524 nucleotides long. RefSeq lists it as uncharacterized. The transcript has 4 exons. The record is from RefSeq and is a predicted model, not a curated record. NCBI's taxonomy places the organism in Eukaryota, Metazoa, Mollusca, Gastropoda, Patellidae.
AGCAUUAUCUUAUCUGUAUUUAAACCAUAAAGAAAUAUUUCUUGUGACAGAUCUUAUCAGGAUUUUGAUAUGACAGUGAGUUUUGUUAAAACAGAUUAACAUCACAGGUAACUAAAAUGAAGGCAUUACGAGCUGUUAUAGGUUUCUUCUUGGUUGCUGUCUGGAUUCACAGCACACACUCAUCUUGUUAUAGAGAUCUGCCUAAACAUAAAAUUGUGAAUGGUGUCGUAAAACAGUUUUGUACACAGGCCGAUAAGGAAUUAGAAGUGGGCGAAAGUUAUAGGACAGAUAAUUGUUUUCAAUGUCAUUGUGGAAAAUACGGAAUGCAAUGCUGUGGAGUUGGCCAUGCUGCUGGUGUAAUGGUAAUUAAAGACUGUGUACAGAAGAAGUAUGAUAAUUGUUGUUUUCAGUUUUUUGAUGUUUUAACUGGAGGUAACUGUACAGAUCUCUCCUGUCCACCACCAUUUAAAAAUUCUCAAUAAAAUUAACACAAUCCAACCAUCGGAUGUUUAGAAAACGUACAA